This 460-nucleotide ribosomal RNA is filed under the name uncultured bacterium. Its description in RNAcentral is "partial 16S ribosomal RNA". It matches the Rfam family "Bacterial small subunit ribosomal RNA", at positions 338 to 795 of the family's 1533-position model. The record is from RNAcentral.
CCUACGGGAGGCAGCAGUGAGGAAUAUUGGUCAAUGGGCGUAAGCCUGAACCAGCCAAGUCGCGUGCGGGAUGACGGUUCUAUGGGUCGUAAACCUCUUUUGUAAGGGAAUAAAGUGCGGGACGUGUAUCGUUUUGAAUGUACCUUAUGAAUAAGGAUCGGCUAACUCCGUGCCAGCAGCCGCGGUAAUACGGAGGAUCCGAGCGUUAUCCGGAUUUAUUGGGUUUAAAGGGUGCGUAGGCGGCCGUUUAAGUAAGCGGUGAAAGUCUGUGGCUCAACCAUAGAAUUGCCGUUGAAACUGGUAGGCUUGAGUGUGUUUGAGGCAGGCGGAAUGCGUGGUGUAGCGGUGAAAUGCUUAGAUAUCAUGCAGAACCCCGAUUGCGAAGGCAGCCUGCCAAGCCAUGACUGACGCUGAUGCACGAAAGCGUGGGGAUCAAACAGGAUUAGAUGCCCGGGUAGUC